GGGAAAACCGGAGCUAAUACCGGAUAAGUUCCUUGAACCGCAUGGUUCAAGGAUGAAAGACGGUUUCGGCUGUCACUUACAGAUGGACCCGCGGCGCAUUAGCUAGUUGGUGAGGUAACGGCUCACCAAGGCGACGAUGCGUAGCCGACCUGAGAGGGUGAUCGGCCACACUGGGACUGAGACACGGCCCAGACUCCUACGGGAGGCAGCAGUAGGGAAUCUUCCGCAAUGGACGAAAGUCUGACGGAGCAACGCCGCGUGAGUGAUGAAGGUUUUCGGAUCGUAAAGCUCUGUUGUUAGGGGAAGAAACAAAGUGCUAGAGUAACUGCUUGCACCUUGACGGUUCCUAACCAGAAAGCCACGGCUAACUACGUGCCAGCAGCCGCGGUAAUACGUAGGUGGCAAAGCGUUGUCCGGAAUUAUUUGGGCGUAAAGGGCUCGCAGGCGGUUUUCUUAAGUCUGAUGUGAAAAGCCCCCCGGCUCAACCGGGGGAGGGUCAUUUGGAAAACUGGGAAAACUUUGAGUGCAGAAAGAGGAGAGUGGGAAUUCCAACGUGUAGCGGUGAAAUUGCGUAGAGAUGGUGGAGGAAACACCAGUGGCGAAUGCUGACUCUCUUGGUCUUGUUACUUGACGCUGAGGAGCGAAAGCGUGGGGGAAGC
RNAcentral lists this ribosomal RNA (659 nucleotides) under Bacillus pumilus. Its description in RNAcentral is "bacterial SSU rRNA". It matches the Rfam family "Bacterial small subunit ribosomal RNA", at positions 150 to 769 of the family's 1533-position model. Lineage: Bacteria; Bacillati; Bacillota; Bacilli; Caryophanales; Bacillaceae. The record is from RNAcentral.